UACGGUUCGCUAGAGUUUUUGUUAUUAUUUUCAUAACCACAUUGCAAAGAUUUAUGGGACAAAAAUGCUAGAUUGUCUCAAGGCAAUUAAUCUUUGGGAUAAGAACAAUCAUAGUUUUAUUGAGGUCAGUCAGUACCUAUUUUCCCUCUGGAACAUUCCUAACAUAGGUCGUUAUAGUGCCCCCAACAACAUUACAUUUACUUUGAAAGAAAAUAGUAGAUAUUCCAUCAGCCCCUGGGCCUUAAGCGGCUUCAUUCUAAAGAGCGCAUUCUUAAUUUCCUCUGCGCUAUAAGGCUCCUUCAGGUUGGCAAGAAGAUCAUGACUAAUGGAAGGGAAAUGAGGCUCCACCUUAUAUUGAAUGUCGCCAAUAU
RNAcentral lists this long non-coding RNA (371 nucleotides) under Carica papaya (papaya). RNAcentral's name for it is "long non-coding RNA (CPAP_LNC010887)". The record is from RNAcentral. Lineage: Eukaryota; Viridiplantae; Streptophyta; Magnoliopsida; Brassicales; Caricaceae.